GGAAUAUUGGUCAAUGGACGAAAGUCUGAACCAGCCAAGUAGCGUGCAGGAUGACGGCCCUAUGGGUUGUAAACUGCUUUUAUAUAGGGAUAAAGUCGGGGACGUGUCCCCGUUUGUACGUACUAUAUGAAUAAGGACCGGCUAAUUCCGUGCCAGCAGCCGCGGUAAUACGGAAGGUCCAGGCGUUAUCCGGAUUUAUUGGGUUUAAAGGGAGCGCAGGCUGAUGAUUAAGCGUGACGUGAAAUGUAGCCGCUCAACGGCUGAACUGCGUCGCGAACUGGGUUUCUUGAGUGAGUACGACGUGGACGGAAUUCGUGGUGUAGCGGUGAAAUGCUUAGAUAUCACGAAGAACCCCGAUUGCGAAGGCAGUCCACGAGUCCUUUACUGACGCUAAAGCUCGAAAGUGCGGGUAUCGAACA
Molecule: ribosomal RNA, 419 nt
Filed under: uncultured Prevotella sp.
Lineage: Bacteria; Pseudomonadati; Bacteroidota; Bacteroidia; Bacteroidales; Prevotellaceae
Description: bacterial SSU rRNA
Rfam family: Bacterial small subunit ribosomal RNA
Source: RNAcentral